UACGUAGGGUGCGAGCGUUGUCCGGAUUUACUGGGCGUAAAGAGCGCGUAGGCGGCUUGUUAAGUGUGAUGUGAAAUCUCCAGGGCUCAACCCGGAAACUGCUUUACAUACUGGCAAGCUGGAGUGAUGCAGAGGUUUGUGGAAUUCCUGGUGUAGCGGUGAAAUGUGUUGAUAUCAGGAGGAACACCCAUGGCGAAGGCAGCAAACUGGGCAUCAACUGACGCUGAGGCGCGAAAGCGUGGGUAGCAAACAGG
This 254-nucleotide ribosomal RNA is filed under the name uncultured bacterium. RNAcentral describes it as "partial 16S ribosomal RNA". It matches the Rfam family "Bacterial small subunit ribosomal RNA", at positions 524 to 776 of the family's 1533-position model. The record is from RNAcentral.